This 201-nucleotide long non-coding RNA is filed under the name Lathyrus oleraceus (garden pea). Its description in RNAcentral is "Pisum sativum (pea) long non-coding RNA (PSAT_LNC032685)". Lineage: Eukaryota; Viridiplantae; Streptophyta; Magnoliopsida; Fabales; Fabaceae. The record is from RNAcentral.
GAUUUUUGAGAUCAGGAAUUUCGAUUGGAGGAAGAUUUUUUCUAGCACGAUACUCCCGAAUUCGUCGUAAUAAUCGGAGAUAUCGUUCAACAUCGUUGAUUCAUAAGUAGUACGGCUCGCCUUGUGAGCGAGUGUGUGGCAUACAAAUCAACGUAAAAAGGAAAAAAAAUAAAAAUAGCCUUAGUCUCUACAGCGUAACAA